UACGUAGGGUGCGAGCGUUGUCCGGAAUUACUGGGCGUAAAGCGUGCGUAGGUGGUUUGUUAAGUCUGAUGUGAAAGCCCUGGGCUCAACCUGGGAAUUGCAUUGGAUACUGGCAGGCUAGAGUGCGGUAGAGGGUAGUGGAAUUCCCGGUGUAGCAGUGAAAUGCGUAGAGAUCGGGAGGAACACCAGUGGCGAAGGCGACUACCUGGACCAGCACUGACACUGAGGCACGAAAGCGUGGGGAGCAAACAGG
Molecule: ribosomal RNA, 253 nt
Filed under: uncultured bacterium
Lineage: Bacteria
Description: partial 16S ribosomal RNA
Rfam family: Bacterial small subunit ribosomal RNA
Source: RNAcentral